RNAcentral lists this unclassified non-coding RNA (1204 nucleotides) under Hevea brasiliensis (rubber tree). Lineage: Eukaryota; Viridiplantae; Streptophyta; Magnoliopsida; Malpighiales; Euphorbiaceae. The record is from RNAcentral.
AUUUGGAUCUGCCCCAAUUCUGCUGGUGAAUUCUUUAGUCCCCACGUUCGUCUCGCUCAGGAUAGAAUGCUACAUUGCAUUAUAUGAUUCAACCGUGUCACUGCUGCUGUAUUUAUCUCAUAUGAAGCAAGUUUUCACUCCUCGUCGCUGUCAUAAACAACUGCCAUCCUACGAUGGGUUGCAACCUUUCUUGGAGGAGACUCCUCAUCAGACUCAAUCCCCUUGCGCUUGUGACUGCUCCCAUAAUCUCUAACCUUAUGUUUGGGCUCCUCAGCCUCUUCAUCCACAUCUGAAACUUCAUUAACUUCUGCCUCUUCAUCACGUUCAUCAUCUUCUUCCCCCUCUUCCUCAUACUCCUGCUCUGGUUCUUCAACUCUCCCGGGAACAUCAUCUUCUCCUUCACUUUCGUACUCAGACUCUUCCCUGUCACUGUCUGAGAAAUCCACAGGACGCCCAGAUGAUUUAGAAGCGGGAAAGAAUGGCUUCCUGGGGAUGUCUCUAGUUCCCUUCUUUGCAUUCAUAAUACGUUUUUCUGCUCGAGCUUCCGCUUCCAAAUCUUCUUCAAAGCGGUGACGGGAGCGACGUGCGUCAAUAUAAUCUGUUUCAUCUUCCUCCUCAAGGGCAUCUUCCAAGAACCCAGGUGAUAGUUGGCGCCUUCUAUCAAUGACAGGAGUAUAUUUCUUGUUAACCUUUUCCUUUUUCCGAUUAAGAAGCACAUUUGCCCGGAUUGUUUGACUCUCGGCCCUUUCUUUUUCCUCCUUUUCCCUUUCAGGAUCAAUGUCCGUUAUGCAAUUCUUAACCUUAUACACCUUCUUAUGUCGUGAGUCAACCAAAGCAGUUAAUAAGCGGUGAGAAUUUGAUGUCAGGGAUGAUGGAAUGAACCUCAUCUUCCUCAUAAGCCUACCUUGUGAUUGCAAAAUUCCCUUCCCAUGCCGAAGAAACAAGUGUGCUUGAUCAUGCUUUGCAUCUUGCACAUUUAUGUCGAGCACUUCAUUCCCAAUUAACAGUUGCAAACUGCCAUCUGACCACCUCACAAAACGUGCAUUGCUUUCAUAAUUUGUUGUGCCAUCAGGUUUCCUAACAGUCCUCCAGCGCACAAUGUUAUUUUCCAACCGUAUGCGUUUGUUAGCUCCAGAUUCGUCUGUCACAAAUAUAUCCUCUUCCACAUAUGUUUUGGGAUCAAAUGGUUUUGGAUCAAUGCCCA